RNAcentral lists this unclassified non-coding RNA (184 nucleotides) under Rhizophagus sp. (in: glomeromycetes). RNAcentral's name for it is "Rhizophagus sp. (in: Fungi) partial internal transcribed spacer region". The stretch from base 1 to 46 matches the Rfam family "Eukaryotic small subunit ribosomal RNA", at positions 1786 to 1831 of the family's 1831-position model. Lineage: Eukaryota; Fungi; Glomeromycota; Glomeromycetes; Glomerales; Glomeraceae. The record is from RNAcentral.
AAGUCGUAACAAGGUUUCCGUAGGUGAACCUGCGGAAGGAUCAUUACCGAUUUUAGCGAACCUAACCUUUUGGUUAUGGUCUCGCGAAAACUUUGUAUUUAAAACCCCACUCUUAUAAAUUGAAUCAUUCAUUAUUAUGUAUAAUAAAUAAAGAUCACUUUCAACAACGGAUCUCUUGGCUCUC